UAUGAAGUUGGAAUCGCUAGUAAUCGCGGAUCAGCAUGCCGCGGUGAAUACGUUCCCGGGCCUUGUACACACCGCCCGUCACACCAUGAGAGUCGGGAACACCCGAAGUCCGUAGCCUAACCGCAAGGGGGCGCGGCCGAAGGUGGGUUCGAUAAUUGGGUGAAGUCGUAACAAGGUAUC
Molecule: ribosomal RNA, 180 nt
Filed under: uncultured bacterium
Lineage: Bacteria
Description: partial 16S ribosomal RNA
Rfam family: Bacterial small subunit ribosomal RNA
Source: RNAcentral